This 377-nucleotide ribosomal RNA is filed under the name uncultured eukaryote. RNAcentral's name for it is "partial 18S ribosomal RNA". It matches the Rfam family "Eukaryotic small subunit ribosomal RNA", at positions 592 to 976 of the family's 1831-position model. The record is from RNAcentral.
CAAUAGCGUAUAUUAAAGUUGUUGCAGUUAAAAAGCUCGUAGUUGGAUUUCGGGGCAGCCUGGCUGGUCCGCCGCAAGGCGAGUACUGGUCAGCCGCCCUUCCUCUCGAAAGCCCCGACUGCUCUUUAUUGCAGUGGUCGGGUAGUUCGGGACGUUUACUUUGAAAAAAUUAGAGUGUUCAAGGCAGGCCUACGCCUGAAUACAUUAGCAUGGAAUAAUGGAAGAGGACCUCGGUCCUAUUUUGUUGGUUUCCAGGACCGAAGUAAUGAUUAAGAGGGACAGUUGGGGGCAUUCGUAUUUAAUUGUCAGAGGUGAAAUUCUCGGAUUUAUGAAAGACGAACAACUGCGAAAGCGUUUGCCAAGGAUGUUUUCAUUAA